AUAAUUUAUGACUCGAAAAUCAG
This 23-nucleotide small nuclear RNA is filed under the name Arabidopsis thaliana (thale cress). Its description in RNAcentral is "snRNA_09683". Lineage: Eukaryota; Viridiplantae; Streptophyta; Magnoliopsida; Brassicales; Brassicaceae. The record is from RNAcentral.